UCUGUCACAGUGUCAGGAUCACACAGGC
Molecule: non-coding RNA, 28 nt
Filed under: Mus musculus (house mouse)
Lineage: Eukaryota; Metazoa; Chordata; Mammalia; Rodentia; Muridae
Source: RNAcentral